Halichondria panicea is the source of this 1277-nucleotide long non-coding RNA. RefSeq lists it as uncharacterized. NCBI's taxonomy places the organism in Eukaryota, Metazoa, Porifera, Demospongiae, Suberitida, Halichondriidae. The transcript is spliced from 5 exons. The record is from RefSeq and is a predicted model, not a curated record.
AAUACGGGAAUUACGGGAUGAUCGUUGAUGUCACACACACGGUACAGGUCACGGACUUUCACGGGGGAGUGAUUUAACGGGAACCGUAGACAACCGUUGCCGUGGGGGAGGGGCUGGACGGGCAACCGUAUGAAGACCAUGCAGUCUGACCACAUUAGCUGACGGACAAUAAAGAGACACCGUAUAUCUAUAGAGUUUUGCUACUAUAUAAUUAUGUGCCCACUUCAUCAAUGGCUAUACUAAUAAAAAAAAAACAAGGUGUAAAUCUAGUUGAUCAAGACGAGAGUGGAUUAGAGCCACAACCAAAGAGGACCAGAUCUAGAGCUGCUAGUGUCCUGUGUCCUCACUUGCGAUCAGCACAUAUCCAAAUCUAGUUAUUAUACCGUAUUCAGAUACAGACCUGAGUGACCAUGACUUGCCUGGAUAGCUAUAUUCAACUGGAGUUGUACUGUCGACUCGUUAUAAUAAUAAUAAACUUGCACUGUUUUAUAAUAAAUUAUUAUUCUUAAUACUGAUAGGAGGAGGAGGAGGAGGAGCUGGUAAUUGCACAUGCGUAGUAUGAAACCCACAUUUUAAGCGGGAUGAUUGGAGAAGCUGAGGACUUGGAUCUUAAGAGCCUUCACGUUGACGUUGAGCAUGAGAGAGCCGGUUCUCUAGCUUUAUGGAAGGGAAGCCUGUAAGUAUCUGUUCAUGAACCAGCCAAAAAGUGUGUUAAGACAAAUGCUCAUGUGAUCAAUCAAUGACAAUCACGUACUGGGCGUGGAAUCAAAAAUAUGAUGUGUCGUGACAGUGGACAUUACAGGCACCCAUUAACGUGUUGAAAACGACUCGUUGGAGAAUCAGGUAUGUAAUUCUCCUAGAUAAUUAUUAUGAUGAUUUAAUAAUUAUAGGCACAAGAAAAAACAUAAUAGAAUCUCAGGUGAGAUAUUAAUGUCAGUGUUCAAACAUAUAAUAAUGUGCUUGUGUAUUACUAGUACAGUAAUGUUGCAGACGUAAACCAACGUCAGUUCUUAUGAUCGUUCUCAAGGCCUGGAAACUGCUACUAAAUCAUAAAGGUAUCGAUGUCGAUCUCUCAGAUAUGUCAAUUCUGUUAAAUUACCGACCGGCUACCAUGAUCAUACAAGUCAUUGAAAGUGAACAUAAUGAUGGUAAAUAAUACAAGUCAACACUAGGUAGCCUUUAAGUCACUCAUUUUGUGUCCAGCUAGCUGUUGUCUUGUGUUUCUUGUCUUGUUUCUUUCUGAUGCAUGCUGUAUAUAUUUUUGAUUGAACUUUGAA